This 253-nucleotide ribosomal RNA is filed under the name uncultured bacterium. Its description in RNAcentral is "partial 16S ribosomal RNA". It matches the Rfam family "Bacterial small subunit ribosomal RNA", at positions 524 to 776 of the family's 1533-position model. The record is from RNAcentral.
UACGUAGGGUGCGAGCGUUGCCCGGAUUUAUUGGGCGUAAAGAGCGCGCAGGCGGUCGCUCAAGUCGAGUGUGAAAGCCCCCGGCUCAACUGGGGAGGGUCACUCGAUACUGAUCGACUUGAAGGCAGGAGAGGGAAGCGGAAUUCCCGGUGUAGUGGUGAAAUGCGUAGAUAUCAGGAGGAACACCCGUGGCGAAAGCGGCUCUCUGGGACGGUACUGACGCUGAGACGCGAAAGCGUGGGGAGCAAACAGG